ACGUACGCUGGCGGCACGCCUAACACAUGCAAGUCGAACGAAGUAGCAAUACUUAGUGGCAGACGGGUGAGUAACAUGUAGGUAUCUGCCCUUUGGCCUGGAAUAACACGAGGAAACUUGUGCUAAUACCGGAUAAGUCUUUACGGAGAAAGCUUUAUGCACCAUUGGAUGAGCCUGCACUUGAUUAGUUUGUUGGUGGGGUAAUGGCCUACCAAGACUGUGAUCAAUAGCUGAUUUGAGAGGAUGAUCAGCCACAUUGGGACUGAGACACGGCCCAAACUCCUACGGGAGGCAGCAGUGGGGAAUCUUGCACAAUGGAGGAAACUCUGAUGCAGCGAUGCCGCGUGAGUGAAGAAGGCCCUUGGGUUGUAAAGCUCUUUCGUCGGGGAAGAAAAUGACUGUACCCGAAUAAGAAGGUCCGGCUAACUUCGUGCCAGCAGCCGCGGUAAUACGAAGGGACCUAGCGUAGUUCGGAAUUACUGGGCUUAAAGAGUUCGUAGGUGGUUGAAAUAGUUGGUGGUGAAAUCCCAGAGCUUAACUCUGGAACUGCCAUCAAAACUUUUCAGCUAGAGUAUGAUAGAGGAAAGCAGAAUUUCUAGUGUAGAGGUGAAAUUCGUAGAUAUUAGAAAGAAUACCAAUUGCGAAGGCAGCUUUCUGGAUCAUUACUGACACUGAGGAACGAAAGCAUGGGUAGCGAAGAGGAUUAGAUACCCUCGUAGUCCAUGCCGUAAACGAUGUGUGUUAGACGUUGGAAAUUUAUUUUCAGUGUCGCAGGGAAACCGAUAAACACACCGCCUGGGGAGUACGACCGCAAGGUUAAAACUCAAAUGAAUUGACGGGGACCCGCACAAGUAGUGGAGCAUGUGGUUUAAUUCGAAGAUACGCGCAGAACCUUACCAACACUUGACAUGUUCGUCGCGACUCUAAGAGAUUAGAGUUUUCGGUUCGGCCGGACGAAACACAGGUGCUGCAUGGCUGUCGUCAGCUCGUGUCGUGAGAUGUUGGGUUAAGUCCCGCAACGAGCGCAACCCUCACUUUUAGUUGCCAUCAUUAAGUUGGGCACUCUGAAAGAACUGCCAGUGAUAAGCUGGAGGAAGGUGGGGAUGACGUCAAGUCCUCAUGGCCCUUACGUGUUGGGCUACACACGUGCUACAAUGGUAUCUACAACAGGAAGCAAGACUGCGAAGUUAAGCAAAUCCCUAAAAGAUACCUCAGUUCGGAUUGCACUCUGCAACUCGAGUGCAUGAAGCUGGAAUUACUAGUAAUCGUGGAUCAGCGUGCCACGGUGAAUGCGUUCCCGGGUCUUGUACACACCGC
RNAcentral lists this ribosomal RNA (1317 nucleotides) under uncultured Alphaproteobacteria bacterium. RNAcentral's name for it is "bacterial SSU rRNA". It matches the Rfam family "Bacterial small subunit ribosomal RNA", at positions 29 to 1393 of the family's 1533-position model. The record is from RNAcentral. Lineage: Bacteria; Pseudomonadati; Pseudomonadota; Alphaproteobacteria.